AACGAACGCUGGCGGCAUGCCUAACACAUGCAAGUCGAACGAGACCUUCGGGUCUAGUGGCGCACGGGUGCGUAACGCGUGGGAACCUGCCCUUAGGUUCGGAAUAACUCCCCGAAAGGGGUGCUAAUACCGGAUAAUGUCUUCGGACCAAAGAUUUAUCGCCUUUGGAUGGGCCCGCGUUGGAUUAGCUAGUUGGUAGGGUAAAAGCCUACCAAGGCGACGAUCCAUAGCUGGUCUGAGAGGAUGAUCAGCCACACUGGGACUGAGACACGGCCCAGACUCCUACGGAAGGCAGCAGUGGGGAAUAUUGGGCAAUGGGCGAAAGCCUGAUCCAGCAAUGCCGCGUGAGUGAUGAAGGCCUUAGGGUUGUAAAGCUCUUUUACCCGGGAUGAUAAUGACAGUACCGGGAGAAUAAGCUCCGGCUAACUCCGUG
Molecule: ribosomal RNA, 433 nt
Filed under: uncultured bacterium
Lineage: Bacteria
Description: partial 16S ribosomal RNA
Rfam family: Bacterial small subunit ribosomal RNA
Source: RNAcentral